This is a long non-coding RNA of Dendrobium catenatum, 155 nucleotides long. RefSeq lists it as uncharacterized. The record is from RefSeq and is a predicted model, not a curated record. NCBI's taxonomy places the organism in Eukaryota, Viridiplantae, Streptophyta, Magnoliopsida, Asparagales, Orchidaceae. The transcript has 3 exons.
UCUCCCCCCUUUUACACCAAACCUUGUUCCUUGCCAAGGGCGGAGAUGUCAUCGUUUUCACAAGAUGGUCACCCGCCUUUUGCAGAAAACGGAGUAGUGUUGGGGUGUGGCGCACUGUCACUUGACUACCUGGCGACAGUGGAUGCGUUUCCCAA